AGAGUUUGAUCCUGGCUCAGAUUGAACGCUGGCGGCAUGCCUAACACAUGCAAGUCGAACGGGGGUAGCGAUACUCUAGUGGCGGACGGGUGAGGAAUGCGUAGGAAUCUACCCACGAGUGGGGGACAACCUGGGGAAACUCAGGCUAAUACCGCAUGAGCUCGGGAGAGGAAAGCGGGGGAUCUUCGGACCUCGCGCUGGUGGAAGAGCCUACGUCCGAUUAGCUAGUUGGUGGGGUAAGGGCUCACCAAGGCGACGAUCGGUAGCGGGUCUGAGAGGACGGCCCGCCAAACUGGGACUGAGACACGGCCCAGACUCCUACGGGAGGCAGCAGUGGGGAAUAUUGGACAAUGGGCGCAAGCCUGAUCCAGCAAUGCCGCGUGGGUGAAGACGGCCUGCGGGUUGUAAAGCCCUUUAGGCGGGGAGGAACGACGGGACGCGAAGACCGUUUCGAAGUGACGUUACCCGCGGAAUAAGCACCGGCUAACUCCGUGCCAGCAGCCGCGGUAAUACGGAGGGUGCGAGCGUUAAUCGGAAUUACUGGGCGUAAAGCGUGCGUAGGCGGAGAGGUCAGUCAGCCGUGAAAGCCCUGGGCUUAACCUGGGAACGGCGGUUAAGACGGCUUAUCUGGAGUGGGCUAGAGGAUCGUGGAAUUCCGGGUGUAGCGGUGAAAUGCGUAGAGAUCCGGAGGAACACCGAUGGCGAAGGCAGCGGUCUGGGGCCACACUGACGCUGAGGCACGACGGCGUGGGGGAGCAAACAGGAUUAGAUACCCUGGUAGUCCACGCGGUAAACGAUGAGCACUAGACGCCGGGGGGGUGACUUUUCGGUGUCGCAGCUAACGCGCUAAGUGCUCCGCCUGGGGAGUACGGCCGCAAGGUUGAAACUCAAAGGAAUUGACGG
This 903-nucleotide ribosomal RNA is filed under the name uncultured Gammaproteobacteria bacterium. RNAcentral's name for it is "bacterial SSU rRNA". It matches the Rfam family "Bacterial small subunit ribosomal RNA", at positions 8 to 916 of the family's 1533-position model. The record is from RNAcentral. Lineage: Bacteria; Pseudomonadati; Pseudomonadota; Gammaproteobacteria.